AACGAACGCUGGCGGCAGGCCUAACACAUGCAAGUCGAACGCCCGUAGCAAUACGGGAGUGGCAGACGGGUGAGUAACGCGUGGGAACGUGCCCUUCGGUUCGGAAUAACUCAGGGAAACUUGAGCUAAUACCGGAUACGUCCGUAAGGAGAAAGAUUUAUCGCCGAAGGAUCGGCCCGCGUCGGAUUAGCUAGUUGGUGAGGUAACGGCCCACCAAGGCGACGAUCCGUAGCUGGUCUGAGAGGANGAUCAGCCACACUGGGACGUGAGACACGGCCC
This 279-nucleotide ribosomal RNA is filed under the name uncultured bacterium. RNAcentral's name for it is "partial 16S ribosomal RNA". It matches the Rfam family "Bacterial small subunit ribosomal RNA", at positions 29 to 332 of the family's 1533-position model. The record is from RNAcentral.